This 1250-nucleotide ribosomal RNA is filed under the name Lethal yellowing phytoplasma. RNAcentral's name for it is "bacterial SSU rRNA". It matches the Rfam family "Bacterial small subunit ribosomal RNA", at positions 152 to 1399 of the family's 1533-position model. Lineage: Bacteria; Bacillati; Mycoplasmatota; Mollicutes; Acholeplasmatales; Acholeplasmataceae. The record is from RNAcentral.
GGAAACAGUUGCUAAGGCUGGAUAGGAAAUAAAAAGGCAUCUUUUUAUUUUUAAAAGACCUUUUUCGGAAGGUAUGCUUAAAGAGGGGCUUGCGUCACAUUAGUUAGUUGGUAGGGUAAAGGCCUACCAAGACGAUGAUGUGUAGCUGGACUGAGAGGUUGAACAGCCACAUUGGGACUGAGACACGGCCCAAACUCCUACGGGAGGCAGCAGUAGGGAAUUUUCGGCAAUGGAGGAAACUCUGACCGAGCAACGCCGCGUGAACGACGAAGUACUUCGGUAUGUAAAGUUCUUUUAUUGAAGAAGAAACAAUAGUGGAAAAACUAUCUUGACGUUAUUCAAUGAAUAAGCCCCGGCUAACUAUGUGCCAGCAGCCGCGGUAAUACAUAGGGGGCGAGCGUUAUCCGGAAUUAUUGGGCGUAAAGGGUGCGUAGGCGGUUUAAUAAGUCUCUAGUUUAAUUUCAACGCUUAACGUUGUCCUGCUAGAGAAACUGUUUAACUAGAGUGAGAUAGAGGUAAGCGGAAUUCCAUGUGUAGCGGUAAAAUGUGUAAAUAUAUGGAGGAACACCAGAGGCGUAGGCGGCUUACUGGGUCUUUACUGACGCUGAUGCACGAAAGCGUGGGGAGCAAACAGGAUUAGAUACCCUGGUAGUCCACGCCGUAAACUAUGAGUACUAAGUGUCGGGGUUAAACUCGGUACUGAAGUUAACACAUUAAGUACUCCGCCUGAGUAGUACGUACGCAAGUAUGAAACUUAAAGGAAUUGACGGGAUCCCGCACAAGCGGUGGAUCAUGUUGUUUAAUUCGAAGAUACACGAAAAACCUUACCAGGUCUUGACAUACUCUGCAAAGCUAUAGAAAUAUAGUGGAGGUUAUCAGGGAUACAGGUGGUGCAUGGUUGUCGUCAGCUCGUGUCGUGAGAUGUUAGGUUAAGUUCUAAAACGAGCGCAACCCCUGUCGUUAAUUGCCAGCACGUUAUGGUGGGGACUUUAGCGAGACUGCCAAUGAAAAAUUGGAGGAAGGUGGGGAUUACGUCAAAUCAUCAUGCCCCUUAUGAUCUGGGCUACAAACGUGAUACAAUGGCUAUUACAAAGAGUAGCUGAAACGCGAGUUUUCGGCAAAUCUCAAAAAAAUAGUCUCAGUUCGGAUUGAAGUCUGCAACUCGACUUCAUGAAGUUGGAAUCGCUAGUAAUCGCGAAUCAGCAUGUCGCGGUGAAUACGUUCUCGGGGUUUGUACACACCGCCCGUCA